CAUUGCUAAAUGAUUUCUAAAUUUUAUCGUACAAAUAUAACUAUUAUGGAACAACAAACGGAGGUAGACAUACAUAGACAAUUCCGGCGACGAGUUGUGGUAUGUACAUUCAGGCCACAUUUGUGAUCUCCUUUUCUAUUGGAUUUGAAGAAACCAGCCACAUAAAAACCUGUUAUACUUUUCUUCUAUAAUAGAUGAUUAUGAUGAUGCUGCAAAUUAACUGUCUCUUUUUCGACAUCAUCUCCAAAUGGGUAUCUAUCAUUGGUGGACUUAUUACAAUACCAAGUAGAUUAUGGAUAUACUUUUUCAUUGAUUAAAUUGUUCAUUUGGGGUCUAACCUUGAUUAUGAGAAUUGAGCAACGAAUGAUUUUUUCAGAUAAAUGCAUCUACAAGAGAUGAUGGGCUAAACAUUAAUGAUCAUGGUCAUCAGCUUGAGCAUGUUCAACCUAUUAUUGGUUCUUCUCCGUCCACUUCCAUACGCAUCUAGGUCAUUUAAGGUUCAUGUCGUGCAGGUAUGUCGAGGUUGUUUUCGGUAGUGGACUCAUGCUAUGAUUUUGAGCACGCGCGUCUUCAUGGAUGAAGUAAUUUGCCAUAUUGUUAGUUACUUCUCCUACCUAGGUUUAGCAGUCCAAAAAUGCUUAAUCGACAUUUACUUUGACCCGCCUUUGAUUUAAAGUAUCCAAGACACCUUCCCCUGUGGCUCUCUGUUACCUGCAUUUAAGGUUAAGCCAUUGUGAUCAUAUUGAGCCCUGUUAUUACUUUUUGUUCCUGAUUCCUUUUUUUUCCUAUACCUAUGUAGUACUUUUCUUUCUUUAUCUCUUGCAACAGCACACUUUAUCUCUUGCAACAGCACACAACACAUUGGCAAGGAUUGGUUUUUCAAAAUGUCAUGUUUAUUUAGAAUAUUCCAUUCUCCACCAUAUUUUAUUUAAAUGUCUGGUGUAGCUCGGUUGGAGUCAUUUAAAUUGGUCAGUAUCAAUGCUAGAUGUUAACCUUGGUUUAGUUAAAAUGAGAAUGAGUCCUUCAAAUUGAGUGCUGAGACUGAAUUUUGUUUGAUUACAGAUUACAAGAUAAAUAACUAUUCUUCAGGUUAAUAAAUAUUUGCAUAGUUAUAUAUACUGUCAUCUGCCACAUUCACGUAAAAAAAUUCAAUGUUGGAGUUCAAGCUUUAUUGCUUUUAGAUAAGAUUUCUUCCAAAAAUCAGGUUUUCAGUUAUAGGGUUUUACUGAGCAUUGUAUUCACAACUUCUUCUCCCUGCUGCAAUGAAUUCUUUAAAAGGUAUGUUGUUUGCUGUUUCCCAAUUGAUUAGAUGAAUAUUUUAUUGCCGUUCAUUUUUUAUGAUGCAUGAAACAUACAUAUUCAUAUAAUGGGUUAUUGUUGACUAUCUAACCAUUUUGAAUGAUUCAUCAUUGGUUAUUGUUGUGGAAUGGGACCGUAAAUUUUUUUUGGUAUAGUUUUCGAUUUUUAGAGCACUACAUAUAUGUGAUAUUCUAUCUGUGAAAAAUAUUUUUUUGACAAAUCUCGGGAAAAUAAUUGGCUCUUUGUGUAUACGUAUUGGAUUUCCAUGCCGAACCCAUUUGCAGGUGCUAUCAUACAGAUACAGGUUUGGAUCAGGCAGCAGGAUCAUCAGAUAUUUUUACAAAG
RNAcentral lists this long non-coding RNA (1644 nucleotides) under Aquilegia coerulea. Its description in RNAcentral is "long non-coding RNA (ACOE_LNC001995)". The record is from RNAcentral. Lineage: Eukaryota; Viridiplantae; Streptophyta; Magnoliopsida; Ranunculales; Ranunculaceae.